GAACGCUGGCGGCAGGCCUAACACCUGCAAGUCGAGCGAGGACUUCGGUUCUAGCGGCGGACGGGUGAGUAACGCGUGGGAAUGUGCCCUUCUCUACGGAAUAGCCCUGGGAAACUGGGAGUAAUACCGUAUACGCCCUAUUGGGGAAAGAUUUAUCGGAGAAGGAUCAGCCCGCGUUGGAUUAGGUAGUUGGUGGGGUAAUGGCCUACCAAGCCGACGAUCCAUAGCUGGUUUGAGAGGAUGAUCAGCCACACUGGGACUGAGACACGGCCCAGACUCCUACGGGAGGCAGCAGUGGGGAAUCUUAGACAAUGGGGGCAACCCUGAUCUAGCCAUGCCGCGUGAGUGAUGAAGGCCUUAGGGUUGUAAAGCUCUUUCAGCUGGGAAGAUAAUGACGGUACCAGCAGAAGAAGCCCCGGCUAACUCCGUG
This 430-nucleotide ribosomal RNA is filed under the name uncultured bacterium. Its description in RNAcentral is "partial 16S ribosomal RNA". It matches the Rfam family "Bacterial small subunit ribosomal RNA", at positions 31 to 507 of the family's 1533-position model. The record is from RNAcentral.